GACAGAGGGUGCAAACGUUGUUCGGAAUUACUGGGCGUAAAGCGAGUGUAGGCGGUUCCUAAGUCAGGUGUGAAAGCCCCGGGCUCAACCCGGGAAGUGCACUUGAAACUGGGAGGCUAGAGUAUCGGAGAGGUUGGUGGAAUUCUCGGUGUAGAGGUGAAAUUCGUAGAUAUCGAGAGGAACACCGGUGGCGAAGGCGGCCAACUGGACGAAUACUGACGCUGAGACUCGAAAGCGUGGGGGAGCAAACAGG
RNAcentral lists this ribosomal RNA (253 nucleotides) under uncultured bacterium. RNAcentral's name for it is "partial 16S ribosomal RNA". It matches the Rfam family "Bacterial small subunit ribosomal RNA", at positions 524 to 776 of the family's 1533-position model. The record is from RNAcentral.